AGGGGCCAGGACAGCACUCUGUUCAAGGAGCUCGGGGUGACGACCAGCACCUAAACCUUCUUCCUUUUCUGGCCCAUCACAGCGACACCUGCUGGCUCUGACCAGCUUUGGACCAGCCCAACUGACUGUCACAAGCUGAGGUGGGGGCCAGACCUUGUGACAGUAGAGAAGGGAGGCAGGGCACCCGGUGGGGGAGGGGGAGAGGAGGCAGGGGGUGGUGAAGAGGGGGAGGCCGGCAGGCUGAGCCCGGCCCGACCGCCCCACACCACCCAGGCCCCACUGAGGGAGCCUCAGACAGGACUCCCACCCCACUCAGGACAGGACUGUGCCCAUGGAGGUGGGAGCGUCCGGGGUGCAGGCAGCACCAGCCUGCCUACCAGGUUGUUGGCGUAUGUGACUGUUUGCAAGAUUCACGUGUGCGGAGACCGUCUAUGACUCCAGUCCACGCGCUGCCUGUGACCACUGUGUGACCCUAACCAAGGCCCUUGACCUCUCUGAGCCCAACCUCCUCAUCUCUUGGAGGGUCAACCCCAAGCCGUUGAUGGGGAGCCAUGGAGAGCCCCAUGUCAUGCCCUCAGCACCGAGCCCAUCAGGCGGGGACACGGCAAGCUGCAGGCUCCAAACGUUCCUCACCAGCCUCUGAGGCCCACGUCCUGGGGCCACAUUCUCCAGGACCUGAGGCCUAGACCAGGCCCUCUGGGACCUCAGGACCUCCAGGACCAUCUCUCUUCCCUGCCAGGAGACACAUGACCCAGCGGCUGCCUCUUCACAUCUGGGCAGCACCCAUGGCCCGGAGUGUGCCCCACCCCCACCCCAGGGGCCUCCCUGUAGCCCAGGACAGGGGUGAGGCAGCAAAGGCAGAGAGAAGGGAAGCCACUUGCCUAGGGUCACACAGCUGGCAGGAGGUAAAGCCAGGAGAUGUCCGGGGACCCAGACAGCGCUGGCUACAGAGGAGCCGGGAGGGGAUGGAGGGGCCACUGCCUGGACCGAGAACCUGUCCAGCCCACCCCAUCUUUCUGUCUAACCCUGGGCAGGCCUUUCCCUCUCUGGGCCCUUUUCCCACUGGAAAAGGCCUUUGCACUUACUGUUCCCUCUGCCUGGAAUGUCCUUCCCCCCAAUACCCAAUGCUGGCUUUUCCUUGCAUUGAAACAUAGCUGAAAUGUCAGCACCCCAGAGAGCCCUCCCCGAGACCUCCCAGAUAACAACUGCCCUCCCUCAGUC
This 1221-nucleotide long non-coding RNA is filed under the name Equus asinus (donkey). RNAcentral's name for it is "lncRNA (ENSEASG00005026336.1)". Lineage: Eukaryota; Metazoa; Chordata; Mammalia; Perissodactyla; Equidae. The record is from RNAcentral.